AUUGAACGCUGGCGGCAGGCCUAACACAUGCAAGUCGAGCGGAUGAAGGGAGCUUGCUCCUGGAUUCAGCGGCGGACGGGUGAGUAAUGCCUAGGAAUCUGCCUGGUAGUGGGGGAUAACGUCCGGAAACGGGCGCUAAUACCGCAUACGUCCUGAGGGAGAAAGUGGGGGAUCUUCGGACCUCACGCUAUCAGAUGAGCCUAGGUCGGAUUAGCUAGUUGGUGGGGUAAAGGCCUACCAAGGCGACGAUCCGUAACUGGUCUGAGAGGAUGAUCAGUCACACUGGAACUGAGACACGGUCCAGACUCCUACGGGAGGCAGCAGUGGGGAAUAUUGGACAAUGGGCGAAAGCCUGAACCAGCCAUGCCGCGUGUGUGAAGAAGGUCUUCGGAUUGUAAAGCACUUUAAGUUGGGAGGAAGGGCAGUAAGUUAAUACCUUGCUGUUUUGACGUUACCAACAGAAUAAGCACCGGCUAACUUCGU
This 483-nucleotide ribosomal RNA is filed under the name uncultured bacterium. Its description in RNAcentral is "partial 16S ribosomal RNA". It matches the Rfam family "Bacterial small subunit ribosomal RNA", at positions 30 to 506 of the family's 1533-position model. The record is from RNAcentral.